AUCAAACCUCAUACGUCUCAACUCAGUCUUAUCUUCAUCUUUUGGCCUAUUAAGUACCCUUUAUGUUUCCCGGAAACUAAUGGCGAUGGUUGACUUGACAUUAUUGAAUCCAAAGUCUCUAGUAGUUUGAUUCCAGAAAACAACAAAACUUCCACGCGAAAUUGCAAAACACCAAGAGAAGCGCGCGAACUGGGGGCUGGAGAGACACGGAUACCGUUAUUCCUCGAGUCUUCUUCCACUUCCCAAUAUAAUCAUAAUCCCCGUUCCCCAGUUCCCACAACUCAGAAUUCUUAAACCUCAACCUGUUCAACUCAGCAGUCAUCCGACUUCAGAGUGCACAGGAUAGUAUUGCAGCAUUAAUGGAGCUGUGGUCUGGAUAGAGUGAAAGGGACGUGUGUUGAAAUUGAAAUGAACGGUUGUGGCGGUUGUGGAAUGCCCUCUUGCCAUUAAUAACACCUUACUACCAUACCAGAUACCACUACUUAUUAACUUCCUCCUGCCAUUAUUACCCUCAGAGUCAGAGACAGGGACGCACAGCAGUCAUACACGGUCGAUACUCGGACAGUUACGACCCCUCAUGGCUCGUUCAUUUGAUUUAUGGUCCAAAACAAAAGCCUUUCUGCUGUGUUGAAACUGAAGAAUCAAAGGCAAAGCUGGUGAUCCGCCAAACUACCAAGUUCCUACGCUGGACCAACAUUUGCUGUGGAAAUAAGGUGGAAGCUCCAUUCUAUUGCUUUACCGGUCCCAAAGUGGAAACAGAGCUCAAGACUGCAUUUUUUCUUCUUGAGGGAGCUCAAAUUUAUGGUAGAACUCACCGCUGAAUCGGGUUAUGACUUUGAAUCAAGAUUACGUGUUUAUUCUUGAAGGUGCUGGAUUACUAUAACAUAGACCUUAGCAAGUGCCUAAUCAGCGUAAAAGGUUGUGCUUGUGCAUGUUCAAUCAAAAUUGCACUUUUCACCUUGAGGCAGCUGGAUUGUAUCAUUGACAUGCUACAGACCUUAGCAAGUUCAUUUUUGGUUCCAAGGGUCAUGGACGGUCAAUUCAAGGUUGCAUUGCUUUCCCUCUUGCUUUUCAACUUUAUGCAGACGGAGCAGGUUCUAGCAAGCUCCGGCUCGGAAAGAUGGGCUUUGCUGGAGCUCAGGGCAUCCCUUGGUAUUAGAGCUCGAUACUGGCCCAAAAA
Coffea arabica (coffee) is the source of this 1180-nucleotide non-coding RNA. NCBI's taxonomy places the organism in Eukaryota, Viridiplantae, Streptophyta, Magnoliopsida, Gentianales, Rubiaceae. The record is from RefSeq and is a predicted model, not a curated record.